UGCCAGUGAGGACACCCCUGUUCUAACCCCAGAGCCAGUAAUGGUGAACCCACUGGGGUAACUGGGAGAGAAGAUGAGAACUUGUUCCCUAAGGAACUGUCUGAGGUAC
RNAcentral lists this small nucleolar RNA (109 nucleotides) under Microcebus murinus (gray mouse lemur). Its description in RNAcentral is "Small nucleolar RNA SNORD22 (ENSMICG00000022574.3)". It matches the Rfam family "Small nucleolar RNA SNORD22". From Rfam's summary of the family: U22 is a member of the C/D class of snoRNA which contain the C (UGAUGA) and D (CUGA) box motifs. U22 is encoded within the U22 snoRNA host gene (UHG) in mammals and has also been identified in Xenopus. U22 is thought to as a 2'-O-ribose methylation guide for ribosomal RNA. The record is from Rfam by way of RNAcentral. Lineage: Eukaryota; Metazoa; Chordata; Mammalia; Primates; Cheirogaleidae.